This 4197-nucleotide ribosomal RNA is filed under the name Triticum aestivum (bread wheat). RNAcentral describes it as "partial small subunit ribosomal RNA". Lineage: Eukaryota; Viridiplantae; Streptophyta; Magnoliopsida; Poales; Poaceae. The record is from RNAcentral.
AUGAAUGCAGACAAGCGUAUACCGUUGCAUGACUUACAGAAGAUUACAAAUGAUUUCUCAGAGCACUCAAGAAUAGGUAGGGGUGGGUACGGAGACGUUUACAAGGGAGUUUACAAUGGGAGAGAGAUUGCCGUGAAGCUACUCCAUGUUGAUACUCUACGAGGACUUGAUGACCAAUUGUUCAAAAAUGAAGUUGGCAACCUUUUGAAGGCUGAGCAUCCAAAUAUCGUACAAUUAGUUGGUUAUUGUUAUGAAACAAGGAAUAUAUAUGUUGAUAACAAUGGUGCGAACGAUUUUAGUCAGCGCAUAUAUAAAAUCAUCUGCUUUGAGUACUUGCAGGGUGGAAGCCUUGACAGGCGUCUAUAUGACCACUCUUUUGCACCUAAUUGGAGCACACGUUACAACAUUAUAAAGGGGAUCUGUGAAGGUCUAAAUUUCCUUCACAAAUGUAAACCACGAAUUUUGCAUCUUGAUUUGAAGCCCGCCAAUAUAUUACUAGACAGUUCCAUGGAGCCUAAUGUGGCGGAUUUUGGAUUGUCAAGGCUCUUCACACAAACACAUACUCAUGUCACAGAAAAAAUCAUAGGAACCCAGAAGUACAUGCCACCAGAAUUCAUAAAAGAUCACAUAAUCUCACCUAAGAAUGAUGUCUUUAGUGUAGGUGUUGUCAUGAUAGAGAUAAUGACAGGACCUACAGGUUACUCCAAUUCUUUUGAAAUGGGCGAUCUGGCACAACUAAGGGGGCAGGUAAUAGACAAUUGGAAGAAUAAGAUAAAUGCCACAUCGAAGUACCCAUUAGAGGAAUCAAAUCAAAUGGAAACAUGCAUCGACACAGCAAUGCGUUGUGUGGAACCUGACAGAAACAGUCGACCCACUAUAGCAGAAGUUCUUGAUAUUCUGAACAAGACAGAAACUCAUAUUCCCAAGAGACAGUUGGCAGAUGUGGUCCUGUGUCCGACAAUUGGUUCCAAGAGUACAAUGUCUGAUACAUUGAAGAUGAUGAUAGAUGAACUAGAAAAUAUAACAAACCAAAACCAGCAUUUGAGUUCUAUGUCAAACAAGAGCUCUAAUGUACGAGAAACAACAUCAGAUGUGGAGGAAGAAGUAGUGAUUGGGAGGACUGAAGAAAUAAAGGAAAUAGUGGAUACUAUAUGUGAGAGCAUCACACCAGAGAAUAAGAUCACCAUCCUUCCUAUAUAUGGCAUUGGAGGUAUUGGCAAGACAACCCUAGCUCAGUUAGUUUUCAGUGAUUGCCGGUUCGCAGGCUAUUCUCGGGUGUGGGUUUAUGUGUCCCAAAAUCUUGACCUGAAUAAAAUUGGAAACUCUAUUAUAUCACAGCUAUCAGAGGAGAGCCACCUAGCUGAAAAGCAGAUGAUACAUAAUAAACUCAGAAAUGUACUUGCUGGUAAGAAGACUCUUAUUGUCUUAGAUGACGUGUGGGAGGAGAAUCCAGAUACACUAAACUCUUUGAAGGCUAUGGUAAGACUUGGUGCGGGCAGCGAGAUAACGAUUAUCGUAACCACAAGAGAUGAAGCCAUUGCAAGGGAAAUUUGUCAUGCAGUUGAGCCAUACAAGCUAGGAACUUUAACAGAUAAAAUUUGUUGGGGAAUAAUAAGACAAAAGGCUGCCUUGGAAGAACGAGUCGACAAAGAACAAUUGGAGCAGAUAGGAAGGGAGAUUGCCAUCAAGUGCGGAGGUGUGGCUUUGGCGGCUCAAUCACUUGGGUAUAUAUUGAGGUACAUGAGCUCUGACCAAUGGGAGUCAGUGAGGGACAGUUGCAUCUGGAAUUUAUCUACCCAGAAAGAUCCAUCAUCAAGAAUUCAUAAUGUGCUUGCAUCCCUGCUGCUAAGCUAUAGCCAUAUGCCUGAUUGGUUGAAGUUGUGCUUUUCCUACUGUGCAAUCUUUCCAAAAGGUCAUUGUAUAGUGAAGUAUGAUCUAAUUCAUCAAUGGAUUGCUCUUGGAUUCACCGAGCAAUCUUAUAUGUUUGAUCCUAUGCAGCUCUGCGAGAAUUAUGCAAGGCAACUUUUGGGGAUGUCCUUCCUUGAGUAUUCAAAGACAUCUUCGACUGAUAGAACAAGAAGGCAAGACAAAGAAUGUAUGUAUUUCACGAUGCAUGACCUAGUGCAUGAUCUCGCAAAAGAGAUCUUGUCCCAUCAAAUUAACACUGGGGGAAACAAAUGUCGCUAUGCAUUGCUCACAGAUUGUAGCAGCUCAUUGAAGUUGUCCGUGGCUUUUCCUGCAAAUAUUAAGGCUCUACAUUUUCGGGACUGUGGCAAACAAGAACUUUGUGGUGGUGCAUUUUCACCAGCUCAGUGCCUCCGUGUCUUGGAUUUAAGUGAAUGCUUUAUUCAGAAGUUACCUGAUUCUAUUGGUCAACUGAAGCAACUGAGGGUUCUGUGUGCUCCGGGGAUACAAGAUAAGAUGAUUCCCAGUUGUGUCACCAAGCUCUCAGAGUUAAAUUAUCUCGACCUUAGAUGCUCUCAGAAAAUCUCAGCAUUGCCUGAUUCAAUUGGUGAUAUGAAAGCUCUGCUGCAUCUUGAUUUAUCAUAUUGUUAUGAGAUUUGUGAACUACCCGAAUCCUUCGCGGAGCUGAAGCAGUUGGUGCAUCUAGAUUUAACAUAUUGCAGAAGAAUAUCUAUAUCAAAAUCUUUUGGUGGAUUUACCAAUCUUCAGUAUUUGAGAUUAGCAGGACAAACUAAUAUAGACGUUGAUAGGAGAGAGCUAUCAGCGGUCAUUGGUAACCUAACCAAACUUAGGUAUCUAAAUCUAUCGGGAUCCAUAGAGAGUAUGAUCACAUCAGAUAAAGUUGACAGCUUGCUUGCCUCUAUCAGCACACUUUCCAGUCUAGAGCAUCUGGACUUGUCUUAUAAUGAAGCGUGUAGCAGUAUACCAGAAAAUAUUUGCAACCUGAGGAAGCUUCAUACAUUGGACCUAGAAGGCUGCAAAAAACUGAAGAAGCUUCCCGAUCGUAUGGACCAGAUGGUUAGUCUGAAGGUUCUAAAUUUAAAACAUGUUAGGUUGGAAGAAUUGGCGGUCUCUCGCUUCAACUGUGCCUCUUUGCCACGCUUUGUGGUGCAUGCUUCAGGUGAUAGAUGUUGCAGCAAUAUCAUCCUUCUUCAGCCUACAAAUCCUGUUGAGCUGUGGAUAGAUAGACUUGAAAAUGUGAUGUCUGUAGAAGAAGCACAUAGUAUAAAAUUGAUGGAGAAACAAAAAAUUGAAGAGUUGAGAUUUCAAUGGACUGUAGCGACUGGAAGGUUUGUGGAUGACAAGGAGGUGUUGAAAAUACUAGUGCCACCAAGCAGUGUACAUAUAUUGACUAUAUCUGGUUACGGGAGUGUCAGCAUUCCUGAUUGGUUUAUGGAUAUUAGGCGAUAUCUCCCUAUUCUUUCUCAGUUGUAUUUGUGUUAUUUUCCUAAGUGCAAUAACCUACCACCACUUGGUGAACUACCAAACCUACAAUGGCUGGGUCUCUACUAUAUGGAGAGCUUGCAAGAGUGGAACAUGGGAUAUACCAGUGGUGAGGAAGGUGCAAGUGAGCUCCCUAAGCUUGAGUGCUUGACCAUAGAGCAUUGUGCCAAGCUGAGGAUAAAACCAUGUGUGCCUAGAGCUACGUCUUUGUUCAUACGUGGUUGUGACGCAAUGCUAUCAUCAUGGGGAGAGAGCCCUCCACACAACGGUACUUCCUCUUCUCCAUUAACACAGCUGGGUGUUGAAGACAGCAAGGUGCCCAUGCAUGAGUGGAGGUUGCUUCACCACCUCCCUGCCCUUAGUUGGUUAUCUAUCGUUAGUUGCAGUGAUCUGACCACUUCACCUGGGGUAAUCCAACGCCUCUCCUCCCUGGAAACAUUGUGCCUCGGAUCAUUGUCCCUCAACCAAGCAGAACUGCCAAGAUGGCUGGUUGAGCUGACAUCUCUGCAGGAGCUAACUCUGCGUGAGUGUGCAAUCACGACACUACCAGAGUGGUUAGGAGAACUAACCUCUCUCAAGAAUCUGGAGAUUAAGCACUGCGAGGGCAUCAGGUCAUUGCCAGACAGCAUCCAACAAUUGUCCAGGCUUGAAAAUCUAUGCAUUGAUGGAUGCCCUACAUUAGAGAAGUGGUUUGAAUCAAAGGAGAACAUGAUGAAGCUCGCUCACAUCAAAGACGUACAGGUGUUCCCACUAUCAGACUACCCACCAGACUCAGACGAAGAAGACUAG